This 430-nucleotide ribosomal RNA is filed under the name Bacillota bacterium. RNAcentral's name for it is "Firmicutes bacterium partial 16S ribosomal RNA". It matches the Rfam family "Bacterial small subunit ribosomal RNA", at positions 355 to 776 of the family's 1533-position model. The record is from RNAcentral. Lineage: Bacteria; Bacillati; Bacillota.
UGGGGAAUAUUGGACAAUGGGGGGAACCCUGAUCCAGCCAUGCCGCGUGUGUGAAGAAGGCCUUAUGGUUGUAAAGCACUUUAAGCGAGGAGGAGGCUCUCUUGGUUAAUACCCAAGAAGAGUGGACGUUACUCGCAGAAUAAGCACCGGCGAACUCUGUGCCAGCAGCCGCGGUAAUACAGAGGGUGCGAGCGUUAAUCGGAUUUACUGGGCGUAAAGCGUGCGUAGGCGGCUUUUUAAGUCGGAUGUGAAAUCCCCGAGCUUAACUUGGGAAUUGCAUUCGAUACUGAGAAGCUAGAGUAUGGGAGAGGAUGGUAGAAUUCCAGGUGUAGCGGUGAAAUGCGUAGAGAUCUGGAGGAAUACCGAUGGCGAAGGCAGCCAUCUGGCCUAAUACUGACGCUGAUGUACGAAAGCAUGGGGAGCAAACAGG